UGGGGAAUCUUCCGCAAUGGACGAAAGUCUGACGGAGCAACGCCGCGUGAGUGAAGAAGGUUUUCGGAUCGUAAAACUCUGUCUUUUGGGGCGAACGUGAGUAUGGUGAACAAUCAUAGUCAGUGACGGUACCAAAGGAGGAAGCCACGGCUAACUACGUGCCAGCGGCCGCGGUAAUACGUAGGUGGCAAGCGUUGUCCGGAAUUAUUGGGCGUAAAGAGCGCGUAGGCGGGAUAGUCAGUCUGUUGUAAAAGUGCGGGGCUCAACCCCGUGAUGGCAAUGGAAACAGCUAUUCUUGAGUGCAGGAGAGGAAAGUGGAAUUCCCAGUGUAGCGGUGAAAUGCGUAGAUAUUGGGAGGAACACCAGUGGCGAAGGCGACUUUCUGGACUGUGUCUGACGCUGAGGCGCGAAAGCCAGGGGAGCGAACGGGAUUAGAUACCCCGGUAGUCCUGGCCGUAAACGAUGGGUACUAGGUGUGGGAGGUAUCGACCCCUUCCGUGCCGGAGUUAACGCAAUAAGUACCCCGCCUGGGGAGUACGGUCGCAAGACUGAAACUUAAAUGAAUUGAC
Molecule: ribosomal RNA, 569 nt
Filed under: uncultured bacterium
Lineage: Bacteria
Description: partial 16S ribosomal RNA
Rfam family: Bacterial small subunit ribosomal RNA
Source: RNAcentral